ACCGGGGCGGUAGCGGUGCCCUGUACUUGCAAUCCGCUAUAGCAAGGGUUAUGUCUUUUACGAGGGUUAUUCUUUGUGCAGUCCUGCGCAUUGUAAGUGGUGUUGACGGCAAGGCCUUACGCAAUACACGGCUGUGAAUCAGGUCAGGUGGGGAACCAAGCAGCCUUAAGCAGUUUUGUUGUAUGUGCCGUAAGUUUCCCUUGCCUGAGCUAACUGCAAUGUUGCGUGCG
This 230-nucleotide signal recognition particle RNA is filed under the name human gut metagenome. RNAcentral's name for it is "Bacterial large signal recognition particle RNA". It matches the Rfam family "Bacterial large signal recognition particle RNA", at positions 9 to 230 of the family's 256-position model. From Rfam's summary of the family: The signal recognition particle (SRP) is a universally conserved ribonucleoprotein involved in the co-translational targeting of proteins to membranes. Archaeal SRP consists of a 7S RNA and homologues of the eukaryotic SRP19 and SRP54 proteins. In most bacteria, the SRP consists of a 4.5S RNA and the Ffh protein (a homologue of the eukaryotic SRP54 protein). The record is from RNAcentral.